RNAcentral lists this long non-coding RNA (1332 nucleotides) under Junco hyemalis (dark-eyed junco). Its description in RNAcentral is "lncRNA (ENSJHYG00000017245.1)". The record is from RNAcentral. Lineage: Eukaryota; Metazoa; Chordata; Aves; Passeriformes; Passerellidae.
GUGUGACAGCAGGGUUGCUCAGCUCCUAGGAAACAACAUCUCAACAGCACCAAAUCUGCAAUAGGCUCUGUGCAUCAAGAGGGUAUGUUGCUGGUUGCUUCUGCUCAGUGACUGUUUUGGUGGAGAGCUGGAAAGGGAAUUAAUGAGCUCAUGGUGUUCUUUGCUGUCUUUGUAGCUGGACAAACAGGAUGUACUGAGACUAUGAGAAGGGGGACAAUUCUUUAUGACUAAAUGACUUUAGUUUAAGGCUGAAUAGGAAGGCGUAAAAUAUUUGCUUUGAGAAUGGGGAGGCUAUUGAAAAGCUGUUUAAUUGCUGUGUAACUGGAAUAGAUAAACAGAUAUUGGAGACUAUUGAGAGAAAAAAGACAGAAAUGGCAGAAAAUUCUUGCGGUGGGAUUGUGACUUGCCUGUAUGUAAGAGGUAUCAUUGAGGUAGCUGUGAAUCAUAUGAACUUGCCACUGCACUGUGAUUUUUGGCCUCUGUCAAAUUGCAGUGAGUGACCUGUGCAUUUGGUGGCUAUAUUUUCAUGUUCCCUCUAAUAAUUUCUUGCAUGUCAGUCAUUUUGUAAUUCUAUUAAAGGCUAAGCUUGAAGAGCAAGCUCUAUGCAAAUCCUGUGACAUUGCUGACUUUCUAUCUGUGCUAGAAAAAAAUGUCAACACAAGUACAACGAGUGGGAUGACCCUGCCUACUGACAGUAUUGCAGAGCCAGAAAACAUUUCUGUAGGGGCCAUGAAAAGUGUGAGAAGCAAAAAUAACUAGGACAGAAAGUAUCUGUAUGCCCAGAAUAAACACAGAGUGGAAUUCAGUGUUUCCUCUAAGUGUUAACCUGUGGUCAUUCUAAAAUCCAUAUUUGUGUCCAUCCAGAUGGCAACCCCAACCACUGUGAAGAGAGUAUCCUGGAAUGCACAAUAGGAAGCUGCUGGGCAGCUGGGCAUGCCAUGGGCUGUUCUCCCAGAUGCUCCUCUGCCAGUCUUUGAGGGUUCUGGAGAUGCAUCUGCUGUUUCCUACAGAGCCACAGAUGAGGAAAGAAGGCCUAGCUACUUCCCUUCAGCAACUAGGUGUGCUUCUCCUGAAAUCAGAGGGAUCUGCAGAAUCUUAAAAAGGAAAGGUUUCUGGGCCCUCCAUCCUUCUAUGCAACUAUGGUCCACUGAGAAUGGUGGCCUUGGAGGAACUGGUGUUGCACUGAAUAAUCUAUAAUUCCCUGCUUGUGGCUGGAUUUGUUUUUAAAGGUAGGUAUUGUAUUUGCUUUUCUUGUGUGGGAUCUACCCAUCUUCUGCGAGUUUUCAAAGAUAACAGAACAUUUCAGAGAUUUUUUCAUAUUUUUUUUCAAAG